GGAUCAAUGCCAGAUAAAGUGCGGUGCUGCAGGGUGCCGUACCAAAGAUAGCUUCGGCCUUCGGCGAGAGACGGNUCCGCGGCCCAUUAGCUUGUUGGCGGGGUAAAGGCCCACCAAGGCUACGAUGGGUAGCUGGUCUGAGAGGAUGAUCAGCCACACUGGGACUGAGACACGGCCCAGACUCNUACGGGAGGCAGCAGUGGGGAAUCUUGCGCAAUGGGCGAAAGCCUGACGCAGCAACGCCGCGUGCGGGAGGAAGGCCUUCGGGUUGUAAACCGCUUUCAGGGGAGACGAAGCUUCCAGGGUGAAUAGCCCUGUGGAGUGACGGUAUCUUCAGAAGAAGUCCCGGCUAACUACGUGCCAGCAGCCGCGGUGAUACGUAGGGGACAAGCGUUGUCCGGAAUUAUUGGGCGUAAAGCGCGUGUAGGCGGCCAAGUAAGUCUUACGUGAAAUCCUGAGGCUCAACCUCAGGCCUGCGCGGGAUACUGCUUGGCUAGAGUCCGGAAGAGGAGAGUGGAAUUCCUGGUGUAGCGGUGGAAUGCGCAGAUAUCAGGAGGAACAUCCGUGGCGAAGGCGGCUCUCUGGGACGGUACUGACGCUGAGACGCGAAAGCGUGGGGAGCGAACAGGAUUAGAUACCCUGGUAGUCCACGCCGUAAACGAUGGGCGCUAGGUGUGGGAGGUGUCGAUUCCUUCCGUGCCGAAGCUAACGCAUUAAGCGCCCCGCCUGGGGAGUAC
RNAcentral lists this ribosomal RNA (737 nucleotides) under uncultured bacterium. RNAcentral describes it as "bacterial SSU rRNA". It matches the Rfam family "Bacterial small subunit ribosomal RNA", at positions 160 to 883 of the family's 1533-position model. The record is from RNAcentral.